This 405-nucleotide ribosomal RNA is filed under the name uncultured bacterium. Its description in RNAcentral is "bacterial SSU rRNA". It matches the Rfam family "Bacterial small subunit ribosomal RNA", at positions 917 to 1322 of the family's 1533-position model. The record is from RNAcentral.
GGGCCCGCACAAGCGGUGGAGCAUGUGGUUUAAUUCGAUGAUACGCGAGGAACCUUACCAGGGCUUAAAUGUAGUAUGACCGGUCUAGAAAUAGGCCUUCCCUUCGGGGCAGAUUACAAGGUGCUGCAUGGUUGUCGUCAGCUCGUGCCGUGAGGUGUUAGGUUAAGUCCUGCAACGAGCGCAACCCCUAUUCUUAGUUGCCAGCGGUUCGGCCGGGGACUCUAAGAAGACUGCCAGCGCAAGCUGAGAGGAAGGUGGGGGUGACGUCAAAUCAUCACGGCCCUUACGUCCUGGGCUACACACGUGCUACAAUGGUACAGACAGAGGGCAGCCACCUGGCGACAGGGAGCGAAUCCUUAAAAACCGGUCUCAGUUCGGAUCGGGGUCUGGCAACUCGGCCCCGUG